AGAUUGAUUAAAAUGAAAUUUUCAUGAGCAUUUUCUAUCAAUUUAAACCAUAGUUACAUUGGACACUCCAUUUUUUGAGAUUGGUGAUUCUGCUAAACUAAGUCAUCUUCCAUUGACUCGUAAAUGUAUUCUCACAAUAAGCAGAAAGUUCUUGAGGAAAAUUAAUUUCUCUAAACUUCUCCCUAAUGUUGCGGUAAGAAAUAAGUUUUAUUAGACAAAACUUUUUUCAUUCGUCUUUUUAAUUUGAAAUUUAUUCUCAUUAUAUAGAUAAUCCACCUUGAAAAUUACGCUCAAAACUGUCUUUGCUCUGCAUUAGUUCAUUUACUGUCCAAAGCGAAUCAAAUUAAAGGCUUGAGCGUUGAGCUUGAAUCAAAGUAUAAGAGUCGCUAUGAUAAAAGUCAUGCAUGUAAAACUUUGCAAAGAGAAGAAAAAAGAAUAACAUCAUUUCUGAGUGAUAUUGAAUUUUUAGGAAUCAGUAAUGACUUAAUAGUUACAAGUUAUCUCAAUACUUUUGGCCAUCUUAAGAAAUUGAAAUCGCUCGGUUCUCCAAAAUAUUGCCAGGCUGUAAAUUUACUCCAUGUUCUUAAAUUUGCCCAAUUUUUGACGAAUCUCGAGCGACUUGUUGCUUUUUGUAAUGAUGAGUCUGAUGAUUUUGUUCGCGUCCAAGACCAAUUACCGAUAUUUAGAAAUAUUUUACAUCUUCGCCUUGAAAAUAUUUCAUCAAAUGGUUUGACUUUUACAAAAUUCUUGAACUUGUGUCCAAAUUUACUCAACCUUUCUCUGGACAUGAAUCCAUAUCGAAUGGAACUAAUUCACAAAAUCAACAUAAACUUCAAUGUCCAAAGAUUGGAUUUACAUUCCAAUUCGGAUCGAGAAAAGAUACUAAAAUUUAUGGAAAAGUUUCCAAACUGUCGAUACUUGAGUAUUUGGUAUAAUGCUUCACUAUCUUCAUCUGGUUUGAUCCAGAUUAUAAGUACAUUACCAUAUUUGUCAUUAUUGCAGGUCAAAAAUGAUUGUACCGAUUUAGCAGCAAUACAAAUCAUCAAAAACUAUUGUCACUCGCAGAAUCCUAAAAUUGAUGUUUACUUUGGUUAUUCAAAUAAGAAACUAAUGAUGUCUAAUGAACUUUAUCGAAAGUUUGAUAAUCCAUUUCUACAUAAAUGAAGUCUAAAGAUUAAAAGUUUCUGAUUCUACAUUUGUAAUCCAACCUAACAAGAAGAAUCGAGCUGAUUAAAAAUACCGGAAUAACCUCCAACCUUGUCUCGAGAUUCAAGUUGAUAAAAAGAAUCAGUCGCUCCAAUGGCAACUAAUAAUUCAAAAAUUCAUAAACUCAAUGUAUUCGUUACUACAUUUAAGUUAUACAAUCGAGGUCGAAAGUAAUUUUUCAUAUCCCGAUUGGUAUGAUUGUGAAGUGUUUUACUUGAAACUAACAAUGCAAACAAACUCAUCUAACACGAUGAUAAAGACACUUGUUACGUUACUAAAUUCUUCGAUUUUUGUCCAAAUUUACUACAAAAAAUUAUUUCAAUGUAUGAAUG
This is a long non-coding RNA of Panonychus citri (citrus red mite), 1538 nucleotides long. RefSeq lists it as uncharacterized. The transcript has 3 exons. The record is from RefSeq and is a predicted model, not a curated record. Lineage: Eukaryota; Metazoa; Arthropoda; Arachnida; Trombidiformes; Tetranychidae.